AUGCUACUUUCUAGCUUCAGAAUGAGAAGUCUUGGGGCUACUUUCAUGCUUGGGGUUUGUCUUUUUGCUAUCAAAUAUACUUCAUUUUCUUGCAGAACAAUAAACAUAAAUGACUUCAAACAUGGCUGCUUCUUCAGCUGCAAUGCAGACAAAGGUGUCUUCACCACUCUUCAACGCCAGUCUGUUGUGAAUUGGUCAGAGAAGGAACAGAAUCCACAACAGCCUGUGAGUAGUAUGAAAUUUCAACUGGAUGACCACGUAAGAGCACACAGUGGUACUCUGCUGACACCCAACCUCAACACAAAUGUGUCAAAUGAGAGGUAUGAUGCAAGAUCACCACCAGGUGAGUGGUGGAAUACCAAGAGAGUAGUAGCUGAAAGGCUUAAAAAAUUGAAAAAAAUCUAAGUUCUCCUAUACCGAAUGUAAAUUUUCACUCUAAAUCUUUUGAGUGUAAAGUCUAAGCUUUUAAAAAUCUACACUGUCUCAUUUUUGUGGUCCUGAUAAAUGUAUAAUAAUACAUAUUAACAGAUUCAUCUAUGUACUGCUAUACCACAUAAGUAAACACAGUAUAUGGCAUCAUGUAAGAGUAUUCCUAAUUGAAAGUACAGCUAAAAUUCAAACACAAUAUUACAAAGGAGAAAAGUUAAUAUAAGUCAUUUCACAAAAAGCUCCAGAUUUGUCAUGCCAAGAGAAUCACUCUCUGCUUUCCCUUACCACUAAAUUCUUUUCCAGUUCUAAAACAAUUCUGAAGAGCUGGAUAUCUAUUGAGAGUUCAAAUGGUAUUAUAUAUAGCUUUUUCUUUUUUCUUUUUUUAAAGGAUACAUUUUACAAUCUAAACAAUAAAUUUGAAGCUUUAAAUUCUUGCUUAUCUUUU
Molecule: long non-coding RNA, 874 nt
Filed under: Coturnix japonica (Japanese quail)
Lineage: Eukaryota; Metazoa; Chordata; Aves; Galliformes; Phasianidae
Description: lncRNA (ENSCJPG00005014364.1)
Source: RNAcentral